ACACGUAAGUGGCAAGCGUUGUUCGGAUUUAUUGGGCGUAAAGGGCGCGUAGGCGGUGCGUCAAGCUUGGUGUAAAAUACCCCGGCCCAACCGGGGGGAUGCGCUGAGAACUGUCGUGCUAGAGUUCAGGAGGGGGAGCUGGAAUUCCAGGUGUAGGGGUGAAAUCUGUAGAUAUCUGGAAGAACACCGGUGGCGAAGGCGAGCUCCUGGCCAUGAACUGACGCUGAGGCGCGAAAGUGUGGGGAGCGAACAGGAUUAGAUACCCUGGUAGUCCACACUGUAAACGAUGUACACUAGGUGUCCGGGAGAAAUCCUGGGUACCGGAGCUAACGUGAUAAGUGUACCGCCUGGGGAGUAUGCCCGCAAGGGUGAA
RNAcentral lists this ribosomal RNA (373 nucleotides) under uncultured bacterium. RNAcentral describes it as "bacterial SSU rRNA". It matches the Rfam family "Bacterial small subunit ribosomal RNA", at positions 523 to 898 of the family's 1533-position model. The record is from RNAcentral.